RNAcentral lists this ribosomal RNA (455 nucleotides) under Shigella flexneri. RNAcentral describes it as "partial 23S ribosomal RNA". It matches the Rfam family "Bacterial large subunit ribosomal RNA", at positions 1224 to 1680 of the family's 2925-position model. The record is from RNAcentral. Lineage: Bacteria; Pseudomonadati; Pseudomonadota; Gammaproteobacteria; Enterobacterales; Enterobacteriaceae.
UUGGGUAGGGGAGCGUUCUGUAAGCCUGUGAAGGUGUACUGUGAGGUAUGCUGGAGGUAUCAGAAGUGCGAAUGCUGACAUAAGUAACGAUAAAGCGGGUGAAAAGCCCGCUCGCCGGAAGACCAAGGGUUCCUGUCCAACGUUAAUCGGGGCAGGGUGAGUCGACCCCUAAGGCGAGGCCGAAAGGCGUAGUCGAUGGGAAACAGGUUAAUAUUCCUGUACUUGGUGUUACUGCGAAGGGGGGACGGAGAAGGCUAUGUUGGCCGGGCGACGGUUGUCCCGGUUUAAGCGUGUAGGCUGGUUUUCCAGGCAAAUCCGGAAAAUCAAGGCCGAGGCGUGAUGACGAGGCACUACGGUGCUGAAGCAACAAAUGCCCUGCUUCCAGGAAAAGCCUCUAAGCAUCAGGUAACAUCAAAUCGUACCCCAAACCGACACAGGUGGUCAGGUAGAGAAUA